Molecule: ribosomal RNA, 440 nt
Filed under: uncultured bacterium
Lineage: Bacteria
Description: partial 16S ribosomal RNA
Rfam family: Bacterial small subunit ribosomal RNA
Source: RNAcentral
CCUACGGGAGGCAGCAGUGGGGAAUAUUGCACAAUGGAGGAAACUCUGAUCCAGCGACGUAGCGUGAGCGAAGACGUCUCUCUGGAUUGUAAGCUUCAUCUGUAGGGAAGAAAAUGACGGUACGUGAGUAAGAAGCUCCGGCUAAAUACGUGCCAGCAUCCGCGGUAAUACGUAUGGAGCAAGCGUUAUCCGGAUUUACUGGGCGUAAAGGGAGAGUAGGCGGACUGCCAAGUCUGAUGUGAAAUAUCGGGGCUCAACCCCGGGGUUGAAGUGGAAACUGGCAGGCUGGAGUACCGGAGAGGCAGGCGGAAUUCGUGGUGUAGCGGUGAAAUGCGUAGAUAUUACGAAGAACACCGGUGGCGAAGGCAGCCUGCUGGACGGUGACUGACACUGAGGCUCGAAAGCGUGGGGAGCAAACAGGAUUAGAUACCCCUGUAGUC